CAGUAGCCACGGGAAUACGGAGGGUGCAAACGUUGCUCGGAAUUAUUGGGCGUAAAGGGCUCGCAGGCGGUUUCUUAAGUCUGAUGUGAAAGCCCCCGGCUCAACCGGGGAGGGUCAUUGGAAACUGGGAAACUUGAGUGCAGAAGAGGAGAGUGGAAUUCCACGUGUAGCGGUGAAAUGCGUAGAGAUGUGGAGGAACACCAGUGGCGAAGGCGACUCUCUGGUCUGUAACUGACGCUGAGGAGCGAAAGCGUGGGGAGCAAACAGGAUUAGAUACCCCCGUAGUCCCUGUCUCUUAUAC
RNAcentral lists this ribosomal RNA (301 nucleotides) under uncultured bacterium. Its description in RNAcentral is "partial 16S ribosomal RNA". It matches the Rfam family "Bacterial small subunit ribosomal RNA", at positions 509 to 807 of the family's 1533-position model. The record is from RNAcentral.